RNAcentral lists this small RNA (108 nucleotides) under Allobosea sp. LC85. Its description in RNAcentral is "Bosea sp. LC85 EcpR1". It matches the Rfam family "EcpR1". Rfam says of the family: Perviously named SmelC291, SmrC10, or Sra33. According to its overproduction phenotype it was renamed Elongated Cell Phenotype RNA1. Induced by stress,EcpR1 negatively regulates cell cycle master regulatory genes dnaA and gcrA at post-transcriptional level by base pairing between its strongly conserved GC-rich loop and the target mRNAs. The record is from Rfam by way of RNAcentral. Lineage: Bacteria; Pseudomonadati; Pseudomonadota; Alphaproteobacteria; Hyphomicrobiales; Alloboseaceae.
AUGCCCCUCGGGAACUCAGGUCCGCCGCAUCUCCUGGGACUCCGAUGGGCUGGCCGGUCGGCCGCGGGACAUCUGGCCUCAUCAGAACCGCAGCCGGCCGGUCACCAC